This 460-nucleotide ribosomal RNA is filed under the name uncultured bacterium. RNAcentral's name for it is "partial 16S ribosomal RNA". It matches the Rfam family "Bacterial small subunit ribosomal RNA", at positions 338 to 795 of the family's 1533-position model. The record is from RNAcentral.
CCUACGGGCGGCAGCAGUGAGGAAUAUUGGUCAAUGGGCUUACGCCUGAACCAGCCAAGUCGCGUGAGGGAAGACUGCCCUAUGGGUUGUAAAACUCUUUUGUCAGGGAGCAACUGGCGCCACGUGUAGCGUUAUCGAGAGUACCUGAAGAAAAAGCAUCGGCUAACUCCGUGCCCGCAGACGCGGUAAUACGGAGGAUGCGAGCGGUAUCCGGAUUUAUUGGGUUUAAAGGGUGCGUAGGCGGAAUGCCAAGUCAGCGGUAAAAUCGCGGGGCUCAACCCCGCUCCGCCGUUGAAACUGGCGUUCUUGAGUGGGCGAGAGGUAGGCGGAAUGCGUGGUGUAGCGGUGAAAUGCAUAGAUAUCACGCAGAACUCCGAUUGCGAAGGCAGCAUACCGGCGCCCGACUGACGCUGAAGCACGAAAGCGUGGGUAUCGAACAGGAUUAGAUACCCGGGUAGUC